GGAGAGUUUGAAGGCUUCACUGCUCUCAGAAAGACAGGCAGCAAAAGAGGCAAGGGAAGCUUGUAAAGAUGCUGAGGCCAGCAACUCCGAACUGAGCAAGAAACUUGAAGAUGCAGAGCAAAAGUUGGGUCAAAUUCAGGAAUCAGUGCAGAGGCUGGAGGAGAAACUUUCCAACUCGGAGUCAGAGAAUCAAGUUCUUCGU
Molecule: unclassified non-coding RNA, 202 nt
Filed under: Hevea brasiliensis (rubber tree)
Lineage: Eukaryota; Viridiplantae; Streptophyta; Magnoliopsida; Malpighiales; Euphorbiaceae
Source: RNAcentral